This 259-nucleotide ribosomal RNA is filed under the name uncultured bacterium. RNAcentral describes it as "partial 16S ribosomal RNA". It matches the Rfam family "Bacterial small subunit ribosomal RNA", at positions 335 to 592 of the family's 1533-position model. The record is from RNAcentral.
CACCUACGGGGGGCAGCAGUGAGGAAUAUUGGUCAAUGGGCGGGAGCCUGAACCAGCCAAGCCGCGUGAAGGAAGAAGGCGCCAGGCGUCGUAAACUUCUUUUGUCGGGGAACAAAGGGCGCCACGCGUGGCGUUGUGAGUGUACCCGCAGAAAAAGCAUCGGCUAACUCCGUGCCAGCAGCCGCGGUAAUACGGAGGAUCCAAGCGUUAUCCGGAUUUAUUGGGUUUAAAGGGUGCGUAGGCGGAUUGAUAUGUUAGA